UCUUCUUCUAUGUAGGUUAUUUUCCCCAACAAAGACACACUUAGCUAAUUAUCCUCCAAAAUGACAUGAUUAGCAUAGUUAGGAAAAAACAUCAUAAGAACCUUGGUUAGCUCAUUAAAAUGACUAAUUUAGCUCCAAAAUGACAUAAUAAGGUCAAAAUGGAUUAAUAAUCAUAGUUGGCUACAAAAUGACAUAUUUUAUCCAAGUUAGCUCUAGAAUGACCUAUACUUAGCUAAGUUCUCUCCUAAAUGACAUAAUA
Molecule: long non-coding RNA, 259 nt
Filed under: Hordeum vulgare
Lineage: Eukaryota; Viridiplantae; Streptophyta; Magnoliopsida; Poales; Poaceae
Description: long non-coding RNA (HVUL_LNC001527)
Source: RNAcentral